This 435-nucleotide ribosomal RNA is filed under the name uncultured bacterium. RNAcentral describes it as "partial 16S ribosomal RNA". It matches the Rfam family "Bacterial small subunit ribosomal RNA", at positions 28 to 507 of the family's 1533-position model. The record is from RNAcentral.
GAUGAACGCUGGCGGUAUGCUUAACACAUGCAAGUCGAACGGACUCUUCGGAGUUAGUGGCGGACGGGUGAGUAACGCGUGAGAAUCUGGCUUUGGGUUCGGGACAACCACUGGAAACGGUGGCUAAUACCGGAUGUGCCGAGAGGUAAAAGAGAAAUUGCCUGAAGAUGAGCUCGCGUCUGAUUAGCUAGUUGGUGAGGUAAAGGCUCACCAAGGCAGCGAUCAGUAGCUGGUCUGAGAGGAUGACCAGCCACACUGGGACUGAGACACGGCCCAGACUCCUACGGGAGGCAGCAGUGGGGAAUUUUCCGCAAUGGGCGAAAGCCUGACGGAGCAAUACCGCGUGAGGGAAGAAGGCUCUUGGGUUGUAAACCUCUUUUCUUAGGGAAGAACAAAAUGGCGGUACCUAAGGAAUCAGCAUCGGCUAACUCCGUG